GCUCAGGAUGAACGCUGGCGGCGUGCCUAAUACAUGCAAGUCGAGCGAACAGACAAGGAGCUUGCUCCUUUGACGUUAGCGGCGGACGGGUGAGUAACACGUGGGUAACCUACCUAUAAGACUGGGAUAACUUCGGGAAACCGGAGCUAAUACCGGAUAAUAUUUCGAACCGCAUGGUUCGAUAGUGAAAGAUGGUUUUGCUAUCACUUAUAGAUGGACCCGCGCCGUAUUAGCUAGUUGGUAAGGUAACGGCUUACCAAGGCGACGAUACGUAGCCGACCUGAGAGGGUGAUCGGCCACACUGGAACUGAGACACGGUCCAGACUCCUACGGGAGGCAGCAGUAGGGAAUCUUCCGCAAUGGGCGAAAGCCUGACGGAGCAACGCCGCGUGAGUGAUGAAGGUCUUCGGAUCGUAAAACUCUGUUAUUAGGGAAGAACAUACGUGUAAGUAACUAUGCACGUCUUGACGGUACCUAAUCAGAAAGCCACGGCUAACUACGUGCCAGCAGCCGCGGUAAUACGUAGGUGGCAAGCGUUAUCCGGAAUUAUUGGGCGUAAAGCGCGCGUAGGCGGUUUUUUAAGUCUGAUGUGAAAGCCCACGGCUCAACCGUGGAGGGUCAUUGGAAACUGGAAAACUUGAGUGCAGAAGAGGAAAGUGGAAUUCCAUGUGUAGCGGUGAAAUGCGCAGAGAUAUGGAGGAACACCAGUGGCGAAGGCGACUUUCUGGUCUGUAACUGACGCUGAUGUGCGAAAGCGUGGGGAUCAAACAGGAUUAGAUACCCUGGUAGUCCACGCCGUAAACGAUGAGUGCUAAGUGUUAGGGGGUUUCCGCCCCUUAGUGCUGCAGCUAACGCAUUAAGCACUCCGCCUGGGGAGUACGACCGCAAGGUUGAAACUCAAAGGAAUUGACGGGGACCCGCACAAGCGGUGGAGCAUGUGGUUUAAUUCGAAGCAACGCGAAGAACCUUACCAAAUCUUGACAUCCUUUGACAACUCUAGAGAUAGAGCCUUCCCCUUCGGGGGACAAAGUGACAGGUGGUGCAUGGUUGUCGUCAGCUCGUGUCGUGAGAUGUUGGGUUAAGUCCCGCAACGAGCGCAACCCUUAAGCUUAGUUGCCAUCAUUAAGUUGGGCACUCUAAGUUGACUGCCGGUGACAAACCGGAGGAAGGUGGGGAUGACGUCAAAUCAUCAUGCCCCUUAUGAUUUGGGCUACACACGUGCUACAAUGGACAAUACAAAGGGCAGCGAAACCGCGAGGUCAAGCAAAUCCCAUAAAGUUGUUCUCAGUUCGGAUUGUAGUCUGCAACUCGACUACAUGAAGCUGGAAUCGCUAGUAAUCGUAGAUCAGCAUGCUACGGUGAAUACGUUCCCGGGUCUUGUACACACCGCCCGUCACACCACGAGAGUUUGUAACACCCGAAGCCGGUGGAGUAACCAUUUGGAGCUAGCCGUCGAAGGUGGGACAAAUGAUUGGGGUG
This 1479-nucleotide ribosomal RNA is filed under the name Staphylococcus haemolyticus. RNAcentral's name for it is "bacterial SSU rRNA". It matches the Rfam family "Bacterial small subunit ribosomal RNA". The record is from RNAcentral. Lineage: Bacteria; Bacillati; Bacillota; Bacilli; Caryophanales; Staphylococcaceae.